This is a long non-coding RNA of Oenanthe melanoleuca, 1561 nucleotides long. RefSeq lists it as uncharacterized. The transcript is spliced from 4 exons. The record is from RefSeq and is a predicted model, not a curated record. Lineage: Eukaryota; Metazoa; Chordata; Aves; Passeriformes; Muscicapidae.
GCCCCGGCUCCGGGCCGCCACACACCGGGGGUAGGGCCGGCUGUCCCCUCAGGACACUGCCCCCGGCUCUGGGCUGCCACACACCGGGGUAGGGCCGGCUGUCCCCUCCCCUCAGAGCCCUGCCCACUGCCCCGGCUCCGGGCCGCCACACACCGGGGUAGGGCCGGCUGUCCCCUCCCCUCAGAGCACUGCCCGCUGCCCUGGCUCUGGCUGCCACACACCGGGGUAGGGCCGGCUGUCCCCUCCCCUCAGAGCACUGCCCGUUCCCGCGGCUGUGGGCUGCAGCACCCCGGGAAUCCCCGGGACGUGAGGGUUAAUUCUUGGUUAAUCGUGGUCUUUGAACAGCGCUAUCUCCCUCACGAGGAGAGACUGCGGCAGUUGGGCCUGUCAAAUCUGGGGAAGGCAAAUCUGAGAGGGAAUCUCAUUAACACAUAAAGGUAUCUGAAAGUACCGAGACUUUUCCGUGGUGCCCGUGACAGGAUGUGGAGCAGUGUCCGUAAACUAUAACACAAGGAGUUCCACCUCAACACAACCUUUUGCACUGAGGGUGGCAGAGCUGCUCAGGGAGACCGUGGAGUCUCCCCCUCUGGAGACGUUCAAACCCCUUCUGGCAGCUUCUGCGUGGGAAAAGAAACACAGAAGAAAUACAAGUCCCAGAGAGGGAGUCUGCUCCUGAAGAGCAGAAACCUCUGGAGAAGAAUGACAGAGUGAAACAUCUCAUCUCAGGAUCAGCAUUCAAAUCUGGACCAGGAACCCCCUGACUGACAAGAAGUCCCUCUAAGGGGCCAAGCCAGGGAUAUCUAGCCUGCCUUCACCAGGAAAGAUUGCAAAAUGAGAGGAGAGGGUGCAUCACCAGUCUGUGAGCCUUCCCUGGGUGUUGGUUAGAUGGCCUGCCAAAAACGUCACAGGUGAGACUUACUGGCACAAGCCCUUUCACAAUCUGACAUUGUUUGGUGUUUGUAGGGUGUGAUGGCACAAUUCCUCCUGAAAACUGCACAGACACAAACUUCCUCUCUUUGCUGCAAAAUGCAUUAUCCUGGUGGCCAAAUGAACCAGCACGAACCCAGCGCAGCAGCCAGGACUGACCAGCACUGCCUUCCCCUUCCAAAAUGUCAAACGAAUUUCUGCUUCAGCAAAGGCUCCAAAGAGCAUUUCAUCACCUCCUUUUUAACAAUUCAUGAUUUCUACUUGCCUACAUGGAGAAAACCAACAACCUAGAUCCACAUAUCUGGAGAGGAUUUCACAGGAGUGGCUCUCCUUCUGUUGUGAAAAUAAAAGUAGGUCUUUAGUUUUGUGUGAUGUGGUCAGUGGCUUCUCCAGCUGCUGAAUACAUGGGCCAGUGUUUGAGAAGUGACCCUGGGAAGUGUGGACAGGGAAAGAAUUCACACAGACCUGGAAUGAAUAACCUGGUCUUUUGCAGCUCUUUGUGCCUACACAUUUUACAUGGUCCUAAGUAAAAUUCCCACCUGCAAACAGCUUUUGCACUUUGGUUAGACAAAGGGAUCUGGUGAAGCUGCACUGCUUCAUGAUUAGAUGAAGGCCUGGAGAGCAGGAAGCAGGU